Molecule: long non-coding RNA, 991 nt
Organism: Triticum aestivum (bread wheat)
Lineage: Eukaryota; Viridiplantae; Streptophyta; Magnoliopsida; Poales; Poaceae
Exons: 3
Source: RefSeq, a predicted model, not a curated record
CCCCACCCUACCUUAUCCAUUCUUUUUUUUCGAGUUACCUUAUCCAAUCGUCCACCUUCCGCAGCGAGGCAUCGCCUCCCAGAUCUCGCUGCUUCUACACCCACACCGGCGCCGGCGCGCCGCAUCUCCCAAAUCCGUCCCUGGAUCGACCCGCCUCCUCCAGUCUUCUCUAUCCACCAUCCGAACCAAGAGCUGUUUCCAUCAUCUCCACUUCCCCAAGCUGCCCCUGUCGCUGGCGCUUCCACCGCGAUGUUCACGAUGACGGCCGGCUGAGGGAUCCGUCGGAGGCGACCUCCGCAAACCGCCUGGCGAUUUCUCCUCCGUCCAGAGCACGCAGUCGACGCUUGCGCCGGCAAGUUUGUUCACCAUGGCGACCGCGCUGGCGGGCUGCGCCUGGCCUUCGGUGCCCUCUAAGCUCUACGCGCCUUUCACCUUGCGUUGCCUAUGGUGUGCCCCUGCCAUGUCAGAAAAAACCUUGCUGGGUCAUGGUGAAUGGUGUGAAAUGGAAUAGAAAGAAAAUUCUUGUGCUUGCACAGAGUGGAAGCGAAUGUGAUCGGGGGGUCACCGUCAAGAGAGUGCUUCCUUGGCUCGUUACCAAAGGAAAAUGGUCACUAGUAUACUACUCUUGCAGUCACAAGUUCGUAGAUGUGUGUUCUGUGAGCUAAAAGGAUCUAUUUCUAGCAUCUAAAGAAGUUAUGGACAUUUUAGUAUCUAUCUGAUGAAGUAGCACUCUAGGAUGGAUCAGUUUCUUACUGAGACAUGAUGGUAUAUAUCUAGUGAUGUAAUACUGGACAUAUGAACCUACAAAUGUAUGCCUAUGUAUAUAUCUAGACACGAUGGAUUGUUGUCCUUUUGGAUGGAUUGUUGUCCUUUUGGAUGUGAUGUAGUACUGGACUUGUGAACCUACAAAGUGUAUACCAAUGUAUGUAUGCAGACAUGAUGUAUUGUUGAGAUAUAUAUUAUGUCUCAGUUGAUGUGACUUUAAUUACUC